ACUUGCUUCUUGAGAAUCCCAGAGUCUUCACGGAGAACUUUUCAGCUCCCGAAGAAUACCUAGUUGUUCAUUUUCGGGCUGCUCCCGGGACUUUUUAUGCUAGGGUAAUUCCUUUGCGCGUAGGAAAGAAGUGGUUUCUCAGUGGUUUCCAGUAAUUUCUUCGUUCUUUCGAUUUAAUUCCGCCAGUCGGAAUAUAUCGUUAUUCAUAAUAACGAUUCUUUCUCUUUCUUUUUUGGAAGCGUUUCCGGAUGUGGAAAAGAAUUGUACGUCUCGCUUGUAUGCAUUUUUGAGGUUAAUUCACUGAACAAUCUGUGCGAGCGCAGUUUUUUUCUUUGUUGAGUACCAGGCCUUACUCAGUAACAGGCGAUCUCGCACAUCUGACACUUGGUUGGCCAUUCUUAUGUUCGACAACU
Molecule: unclassified non-coding RNA, 413 nt
Filed under: Athalia rosae (coleseed sawfly)
Lineage: Eukaryota; Metazoa; Arthropoda; Insecta; Hymenoptera; Athaliidae
Description: misc RNA ENSAEAG00005011300.1
Source: RNAcentral